Molecule: ribosomal RNA, 382 nt
Filed under: uncultured fungus
Lineage: Eukaryota; Fungi
Description: SSU rRNA
Rfam family: Eukaryotic small subunit ribosomal RNA
Source: RNAcentral
CUUUGGUUCUAUUUUGUUGGUUUCUAGGACCGAAGUAAUGAUUAAUAGGGAUAGUUGGGGGCAUUAGUAUUUAAUUGUCAGAGGUGAAAUUCUUGGAUUUAUGAAAGACUAACUUCUGCGAAAGCAUUUGCCAAGGAUGUUUUCAUUAAUCAAGAACGAAAGGUUAGGGGAUCGAAGACGAUCAGAUACCGUCGUAGUCUUAACCAUAAACUAUGCCGACUAGGGAUCGGACGACGUUAACUUAUUGACUCGUUCGGCACCUUAUGAGAANACUAAAGUUUUUGGGUUCCGGGGGGAGUAUGGUCGCAAGGCUGAAACUUAAAGGAAUUGACGGAAGGGCACCACCAGGAGUGGAGCCUGCGGCUUAAUUUGACUCAACACG